RNAcentral lists this ribosomal RNA (274 nucleotides) under uncultured bacterium. RNAcentral's name for it is "partial 16S ribosomal RNA". It matches the Rfam family "Bacterial small subunit ribosomal RNA", at positions 523 to 796 of the family's 1533-position model. The record is from RNAcentral.
CUACGGAGGGUGCGAGCGUUGUUCGGAAUUAUUGGGCGUAAAGAGCAUGUAGGCGGUCUGUUAAGUCUGGUGUGAAAGCCCGGGGCUCAACCCCGGAAGUGCAUUGGAUACUGGCAGACUUGAGUAUGGGAGAGGAAAGCGGAAUUCCGAGUGUAGGAGUGAAAUCCGUAGAUAUUCGGAGGAACACCAGUGGCGAAGGCGGCUUUCUGGACCAAUACUGACGCUGAGAUGCGAAAGCGUGGGGAGCAAACAGGAUUAGAUACCCCGGUAGUCC